GACGAACGCUGGCGGCGUGCUUAACACAUGCAAGUCGAACGGUGACGGCAGAGCUUGCUCUGACUGAUCAGUGGCGAACGGGUGUGUAACACGUGCGUACCAUGUCCCUCACUUCGGGAUAACCUAGGGAAUUCGUGGCUAAUACCGGAAAUAAGACCUGUAGCCAUGGUCGGGUUUGGAAUGUUUGGGCGGUGGGGAUUGGCCUCCGUGCCUUUCAGCUUGUUGGUGAGGUACCGGCUCACCAGGGCGACGAGGGGUAGCCGGCCGGAGAGGGGGACCGGCCACACGGGGACUGAGAUACGGCCCAGACUCCUACGGGAGACAGCAGUGGGGAAUAUUGCACAAUGGGCCCAAGCCGGAUGCAGCAACGCCGCGUGAGGGAUGAAGGCCUUCGUGUUGUAAACCACAUUCAGCAGGGAAUAAGCGAAAGUGACGGUACCUACAGAAGAAGCGCCGGCUAACUACGUG
RNAcentral lists this ribosomal RNA (468 nucleotides) under uncultured bacterium. RNAcentral's name for it is "partial 16S ribosomal RNA". It matches the Rfam family "Bacterial small subunit ribosomal RNA", at positions 28 to 507 of the family's 1533-position model. The record is from RNAcentral.